AUUAUUAUUAUUAAUAAAAAACCACUAAACAAUUUUUCGAAUAGCUCGGAUAUAAAUAUAAGGCAUUCAUAAGGAUGGCAGGCGGGCGGGUUUUCACGGGUACCCGGUUCGCCCAAAUCCUAUUAGAACGGAUUUGGGUUUUUACAAAACGGAUUUGGGCGGAUUCGAGUUUGAAAAAUUUUACCCGUCUCGGAUUCAGGAUUAGGUGAUCGGAUACCCGUUACCCGAACCCGAUUAACUAUACUAACAAAACUAACCCUAAUCCCUAAUUUAUUUUUUCAUUUUACUCUACUUUCCUCUUUUUCGUCUGCGUCUCUCUCCCUCGCUUCCCUUCCCAUAGUUCUCAGCCAUGCCUCUCCCCCACUUCACUGACGACUGCCGGCAGCCCAGUCGUCACCGGCGACGUCUCCUUUCUCUCCCCAGUCGACAAUAAAUCUUCUCUCUCCCCAUAUCUCCUUCUCUCUCUCCGGCGGCGACAUCUCCGACUUUCCAGUUGAAGACAACUCUUCCCUCUGCCCGGUCGGGUGAAAUCUACUCUUUUCGAUUUACGCUAGAGACAACCCUUCCUCUCCUCAAUGGGGACAUCUGCGCACAUCUGCGGACAUCUGCUUUGACUGGAACUCUCUUCAGGUUUCAAGAUCUUUUAUGUGCAUGUUCUUAAAGAAUUUUAUAAUAUAUGGACUAUUAAUCUGAUUAUUUGGAUAUGUUAAAAAAUCUAAUUAUUUGCUAUUUGAUUAAUGUAAUACUGUUGAUUUUUAGAAUUUAUGGACAAUUAAUCUUGAUUAUUUAAUUAUAAAUCAUAAUUUAAUUAUAAAUCAUUAUUUGCUGGGAUGCUGAGUUGCUGGUUCUUGUCAUUAAAAAUUUCUCCAGGUAGUUUUUGUCAUUGAAUUGAAUUAAAAAAAUUAUUUGCUGGGUUGCUGAAUUGCUGGUUCUUGUCAUUGAACAUUUUUCCUCUUACUGCUGGUUUGCUGGGUUGUGUAACUGUUAAAUAGUUUAUUUGGUAGUUUUUAUCAUUAAAUUGAAUUGAAUUAAAAAAAUCGGGUUCGGAUAUUGUUAAACGGAUUUGGGACGGAUUCAGAUAGUAAAAUUAAAAUAUUAAACGAGUUUGAGACGGGUUCGGAAAUUGUAUAUAUAAUCGGAUUCGGAUUUGGGUACUCUCAAUUUUACGGUACCCUACCCGUUUACAUCCCUAGGCAUUCACACUCGGUUGGAGGUAUUAUAAAAUUUACGUGUACUAGUAUAUAAGGCUCUGUUUUGGAAGACCCAGCAUCUAUAGUCAACCUUCAAACUCCUAGUUUUGAAGGUAUCAUACUAGACACAACGGAGCAUAUUUCUG
This 1336-nucleotide long non-coding RNA is filed under the name Manihot esculenta (cassava). RNAcentral describes it as "long non-coding RNA (MESC_LNC001832)". The record is from RNAcentral. Lineage: Eukaryota; Viridiplantae; Streptophyta; Magnoliopsida; Malpighiales; Euphorbiaceae.